CUGCUCAGGACGACCAAAUUGAUAUCUCAGCAUUUGAUUGGCCUGGUGCCCAGAAGCACCAUGGGAAAGAAUUUGAAGACUCUUGGCGGUUGAGAUUCAGACCUUGACGGUUGUAACUGAUGGAUUGGGCUGGGGCACUGCUGAUGAACAUCACAUUCCUGAGAGAAAAAUCACCCAGAUGUCUUCUCCAGCUUUCUAGAAGUCAUUAUGAGGGGCCUUGACUAACUAGAGAGACUCAUACAGAAACCUCUGCCUCCAUCACAGCUACUUCAUUGCCGUGUUCGUCCACGAUGGCUACCCUUGAGGAGGAUCGUCACUGGGCCUCAGAGAAGAGAGAAAACCAACAGGCCAUCAACCACAAAUUGAAAAUUGAAGUUGACAGGGGUCUCAGAGAAUAUCAGCUGCUGGCAGACGGGAAUGGAAUUUGACUCAACAGACAUUUAUUGCACUCCAGCUGUGUGCCAAGACAUGCCCUGAAAUCUGGGAGUGUGCAACACAGGGGAAGAAAAGACUCAUUGCCAAGGAGCUUUCGCCUAGGAGGUGAGAAUCAAUUUCAGCCUAAGGUGGUGAAAUACCGAAAUGCUACACGGGAGGUGAGUGCCAUGAAUCCAUGGAGGAAGAGGAGGAGACUCAAGCAUGGCUAGGUCAGGGAUGGCUUUCUGGAAUAAAGAGAUGCCCCAGCUGAACCAUACAAAAUGAAUUAUCUGUAUUUUCUACUUAGAAAAUGGAACAAGUGGCAACUGAUUAAUUCCGGAGGGGGAGAAUUAUAGAAAUGUGUGCAUGCAUGUCUGUGUAUGUGUGUGUUUGUCCUUACUCAGCGUUUUAAAAGAGAGAGUAAAGAGCUAAAGGUUAGUCCUUUACGCAUUCUCCAAGGAACAUUUGAGAUCCAGCUGACCCCAGAGAAAGGGAGACAGAGGCAAGGUGGUGGCCAUCUGGGGAAAUCAGUGGCUGCUGCAAUCAGACUGGCCCUCGAUUCCAGGAAUUUCCAUCCCUAUUACUCUGCUGUAACUUACCCUCCUGCCAUUCAGCGCUACCUGCAGGACAGGCUGGGCCUUUUAACUAAGGGACUUCUUCCUUGGCAUCCCUUACAAGUACACAAAGGUCACUGCUUUAUGCUCAAGGGACAACAAAAUAUUAAAUGAGGCUCAGUGCCUCUCUUAGGGCACUAACAGCCCAGUAAUGCAGACAGGCCCAUAAACAAAUAAUGGCAUCCUGACGAGAUUCCCUAGGGACAGGAAUUGGGCACUGCCGGGGCACAAAAGAAGAACGGAUGACCUGGCUCUGACUUUAAUGAUAAGGAGGGGCUCACCUGAUUUCCCUGUUUGUGCUAAUAGCCAGUGAUUACGCUGUGCUUUUCCCAUGUCAGGCCUGGCUCUAAGUACUCUAUGCAUAGCAACACAUGUCAUCUUCACACAACCCCACACGAAGACACGGAGGCAGAAAGAAGUGUCCGAAGGCACACAGUUGGGACCAGGACUUGAGCCUGGGCUGCCUGGCUGCUCAUCACCAUUCAUUACCAAUGGGGAGCAAGCUCCAUUCUGGCUUUUCCUUGCUGGAAGGUGACUGUCUGAGCCACAGUCUGAUCUGGCUUCUGGGGAGGAGAGGGCAGGGGAAACUUAUACAAAGCAUACUGGGAAAAAGGAAUCUUUUUUUUCAGCUACGGAAUCCUGUCCCCACCCCCCACUCCCACACACAAUCACGUGUGCACUUACACCUACACAACACAAUGCUGAGGCCCCUUCUUAGUUACAUUAAAUAAUCAUCUCUGGGAGCAGACCUUGAGCAUCUGAAUUUUUCCAUUUUUUAAAAAAGAUUAAAUGACAUGCAGACCCCAAGUAAAAUAUUCACAGUACGGAAAAGAAAGUCUGCGUACCCCUUCCACCUAACCCUCAAUCCUUCUUCCCGAAGGCAAACACUUCUGACAGUUCCUUGUGAUCUGUUUUCUUCCAGGAAAUUGCGUUUGCACAUACCCAUCUGUUAUUUUUAACCUCUGGGGAUGAUUGUGAUAAAUAGGUGGGUGAGACUCUCUGACCUGGGCCUGCCCUGGCCACCUCAGAGAUGCAUCUGUGGGGAGGGAGGGCGGGAAGAGGGAGAUGUGGGAAGUGGGGAGCUUUCUGAGUAGACAAGCAGACAGGAGAUCCAGAGGACAGAGCCCAGACAGAAGCUACUCAGUGCAGCAGACUGCUUCCGAGUGAAAAGAGGUGGUACUUCCUCUAAUCCACACUGAGUAUGUAAGAGCUAAGAAAGGCACAGUGGCCAGACAGUCAGAAUUGAGUGAGGAUGGGAUGUGAAGGUUUAUUCAUCCAUUUAUUCCAGGUAUUUUUAUUUCAGUCCUUUGGGAGGUAGUAGGUGUCAGGUCGCCCUGCACUUCAUGGGUCGAAUACAGAGUAGGUGUGGUGACUGUCAUACAAGAGGCACAGGGGAGAGAAAGGCAGGAGAAUGUCCUCAUGUUCAGUCUCUGGGAUAGACAGACAUGCAGAAACUCAUGUGUGAUGCAGUGUGUUCUCCUAAUGGCAGGUAAGUGGAAGGGAUGGUGGAAGGGUGGAAUAGAAACAGAAACUUCAGGGAUUUCUUUUAGGACCCAAUCAGGGCCUCAUUAGUCAGAGUCUUGAAACAGGUCAUGAACUUUUUGGUCACCAGGUUCUGGAAGGGGUACAGAUUGAUCUGUCACAGGCAAAGUAUGGGGACAUCUGCGGUUGGGUUGACUUGGGUAAACAUGUGGUUAUAGUUCUGCGAUUUCUUUGCUUUCCAGGGUCUCCAUGAGCCGCACGAGGAACAGGUGGUAAGCCUGCAUACCCAUUUGAUAACCCUUCCUUUUUGAAAUGCAGGCCAAGUCUGAGUUAGAAGUCAAAGCCUUCCUUGAGUUUUAUUGCUUUUAGGACUUUUACAAUGGCUUUUCUAUCUUUCCAAUAAUACAUUUACAUUUUCUGAAGACAAUGUGUAUCUGGAGAGGAUCAUUAUGUACUCAAAUCAACAUUUUUGAAAAAUGGAUCAGAAAGAAAUUUUCAUGUUGUAUCCCAGACGAGCCCAGACUGGGUUCCAGAAAUUUUUUGCUGAAUGGUUUUUGCAAUAGGAAGGACUGUGAAUCUUUUUUUUUUUUUCCAGCUGGAAGGACUUUCGAUGACCACCAUUUUGCUUUUUCUCUUCCUUUUAAAAUUCCUACUGUGUGCCAGGUGUGGUUGUCAGCACUGUGUCUUCACAGCAGCCCUGCAAAGGAAGUAUUUUGCUCUUGUUGUUAUUUUACAGAUGAGGAAAAUGAAGACGCCCCCAAAUUUAGUGUCUUACCUUAGGUCUUGUUGUUCUGAUAAGUGGUCCCACUGGUAUUUGAACUUGGGUGAGUCCACAUGAAAGUCAAGCCUCUCAUUUUGCAGAUGAGUGAGCUGAAGUCUCAAGGUCACUUGCCUCUUUGGUUGCAGAUCUUGGGGCGCAGGUCUUCUGAAUUUGUGAUGAGUAUGCUUUGUAUGACAAGAGGGUCACCCCUGAGGAGUGACUCCUGCCUCUAGUCUCUUCCCUUUUCAAUGCAUCCUGCAUACAGUCACCCUACAACCUACCCCCAGGUCCCCCAGCCCCCAAAUCUAUGCUUGUGGUUUCCCAAAAACUACAGAUGAUGGCCCAAGGCUGUGUCCAUCCUGAUCUCUAACAUCUGGCGUGGACCCCACAAUCCAGCCACAUGGAACCCCUACAGUCCCCUGCAUGAAUAAGAUAUAUGCUCUCCUGUCUCCAUCUUUAUUCACCUUUCCCACUUGUUGGCAUACCCUCUUCUUGCCAGAUCUAUAGGUCCAAAUACUACCUGUCUUUCAGGUCCAUCACAAAUGCCACUUCCUUCAUGAAGCUUAUUAUGUCCCAGAGUUGUAUAGGAUCUGUUGCUCUUCCUGAGGGAUAAGAGACAGGGUGGGGAAAAAAAGGGAAGAGAGGAUGGAUGGAAAUCAAGAGAGUAGAUAUGAAGCUGGAGAUGGGUGCAGAGAUGGAUGACCCCAAGGAUAAUCAAGAUAAACAAGAGUGGUGGCUUAUUGAGUGCUUACUGUGUCUUGGAAUAGUGCAAUGUCAUCAUCUCCUUAAAUCCUCACAGCAAGUCAUUGGAUUGCUACAGUGGGGAUUCAAGCCUACUUCUGCAUGAAGUCAAAGCCUAUGCUGUCCCUCAUCGUUGUGUUGUUUCCCAAGACAAUUGGGCGUGGUGCAGAAAAAGAAUGGAGCAAUCAUCAAAAUGGAAGAUUAAAGAGAUGAAACAAAAUUGGGGGCAUGGACUGAGACAAUGCAGCAAGGGACACUGGAAUUGGAAGACAUGAGUGAGGGACAUGGCCAGAGUGGAACUCUCUUAAGGCUUGUGGCGUUCAGUCCCUGGACACUUUGUCAUAACAAGGCAGCUCAGUUGGCAGUGAUCAUCUGGGCACGGGGACCACAUUCAUGGCUUGCAUAUCUUGCUUUGUGUUUUGGGGUUCGGGCUCCCAAGCUCCCUGAAGUCAGGGAUCGUGUCUAUGCCUUUUUGAAGUAGAGACACAGUCCAUCCUACCAAGUGGCCACAUGGGAGGCACAGAGAAGCAAGCAUCUCUGUGCCCAGGCAUGCAGGGAGGUUUCCCAGGGAGAUGACGGGUCCAGGUAGAGAAGGGAGACAGGGUGUGGGAAACUCAAGGUAGAGGCCAGAGUACAUGUUUAGGGAAGGAAGCCGGGAAAGUCAGGGGAGCCGUGUUUAGGGGUUUGCCCAAAGUAUAAGUCAAGAGCAAACAGUAGGAGGAAGUAAGGCUGGGGAGGCAGCUCCUGGAGGGGCACAGAUGUAAAAGCCAAUCCCCCACCCCAUAUGCUUUCAACCCACCCACCCCAGACUACUCCCAUCUCCCUGCUGUUUAACAUGUUGUCUUGUUUCUGAGCCUUCUGUAGGAACAGGAUACCCUUCCUUAUACGUUUAGGUAUUCUGCUGAACUUUGAAGGCAUUUUAGACAUGUGUGCUGUGCAUUGGCCCUCUCAGAAUUCAGUGUCUCCUUGGAAGUGUCUUUUCUGCCUCUCCAUUCUAGCACUGGUCACACCAUUUUGUCUGUCCUCCUUACUAUUGUGAGAGUUUCUUUGGGGGGAAAAUUUUUGUCUUCUCUGCAUCCCCAAUGCCAGCACAUGGUAGGUACUCCUCACAUUUUGUUGAUGGAAUAACUCCAGUCUAGCAUUCAUGUGUUUUUCAGGCAGACAGAGUGAACGGUCAGUGGGGACCCAUGACUCUGGGAACAGAGGGGCAUUUCCCUAUUUGCUCUGUGGAGGCCUAUGAGGGCUGCUCAUUGUUACGGCAGUCCGGCCUCCCGCUCACCCGGACUCCUUUCCUCCUCUGGUACCUGCCUACCAGGCCAUGUAAUUUCUCCACAUUUUUCCCCUUUGUCACCUUUUUUUUUUCUUUCCUGCAAGGAGUGUAGCAAGCCCUCAGGAGUUUGAUUAUGUUGCAAGAUGAAUAAGAUAUUUGAAUUAUGCUAUUUAAAUGAGUCAUCUCAACCCUAGUGUAAUUGUUCAGCCCCUGUCACGCUAAACGUGAUCUACAUUUCCAAAAGAGUGCUUUUGGCCUGAAUAGGGAAUUGCUGAAAUUGUUGGGUUCCAGUUCUCAGUGGCUUACGAUUUGCAUCACAGGGUAUGUCUUCUGUUCCACAUCUUGGCAGAUGUGGACUUUUAAAUGGUCACUCCCCAGAGCUACCAGAACAAGCUGCAUAUAUUUACACAAAAGAAGUUGAACUGAUUUUCUGGAUGUUUGUGUGUGUGUGGUGUGUGUAAAGGGGGCAGAGAGGAGCAGGAGAGUGCAGAGUGGUGAAGAAGAUAGUGCCUGAUCUUGGCUAAGCAGUGUCGCAACACAUAGGUGAGCUGAAGCUCAACAGAUUUAGAUUUUGCACUUGUGGCCUGAAAUCUCCUUGUUUUGCAUAUCCUUUUUGAGGGUUCUGGUCACUCUGAAAACUCAGCCUGCAUUGAUGGCCUCAAUUUGGAUCACCCGGGUGGCCCCGAUAUGCCUUAGCAUUUCUUCAUCUUGGAGCUGAGCUGCGGGGCAGGAUUCUUACACUGCCCGAAUGGAGUGGGGCACAUUUCCCUUCAUUGUGCAUUUCUUUUAGUGAAGAGAGCAUGAUUGAUGGUCAGACUGUGAAACAUAACUCCAAAGCCACUUCUCAAAGUUUGUGAAGAUCUUAGAAACUGGUGGUUAUGCUGUCUCAGACUCUUCAAUUACUCAGACUCCAUGAAUUUGAGUCAUAGCCCACUGGACGAGGACCACACUGAGAUGAAAAAAGAGUUAAACUUUUUUAAGGGGUGAGCAGUAUUCCUAAAGUGAUAGAUAAAGUCAGGUGUUACAGUCACUCAGCGGAUAUUGAUUGCGUGCCCAUGAAUCAGGCAUAUGCUCAGGGGCUGGUAAUACAAGAGAAACAGGCCCUUGAGGUCCCUGCCCUCAAUAAGUUCACAGUCUAGUGAGGUUGAUGGGCAUGCAAAUGGUUACAACAUAAUGCAGGCAUGUAAGAAAUGCUGUGGGAAAUUAAGACAGCAGAGUCUGCUUGAGAAGACUGGGCAAAGUUUUAAAAAGGAGGAGCUACUUUUGUUGGAACUUGAAGGAUGAGUGGUGGUGUUUACCAGGGUGAAUAAUUUGGUGCGGGUAUUCUAGGCAAAGGCUAGGGUGGCUAGAGCCUUGUGUGUGGUGGUGGAGCUAAGGCAGUUGGAACAUGAAGGACCUUGUGUGCCAAAAGAUGCAUGUUAGUUUUACACUGUAGAUGUGUUAGGAUGUGUUCAGCUGCAAGGAACAGAAAUCCCCAAUAUUACUGGCUUAAACAUGAAGAAAAUUUAUUAACAUGUAUAAUGUGUUCAAAGGCAGGGAAAUUCCAAGAUGGCUGAAUUCAGUGGCUCAACUCUGUCAUUAAGGACCUGGGCUCUUUCCACUUUUCUGCUCUGUCAUCCUUGGUAUGACGGUUUAUCCUCAGACUUGAUGAUUGAAGAGGAAGAGAGGUUUGUUUCUUUGUUUUCUGUCCUGAUGUGUGUCUUUUUAAUCAGUGAGAAAAAAUUUUCUUAAGAAGCCCCCCAUUAGACUGAUCCUCAUGCCUCAGUGACCAAAACUGCAUCAUAUGCCCAAUCCUAAACCUUUCUCUGGCCAAGGGAAUGCAACCACCAUGACUGGCUCAGCCCAAUCUUGACCCCCCUGGAGGGGACAGCCCCACUUCUUCUGAAGUACAUGGCCAGGUAGAGGAUACUGGAACAAAAUUAGGCUUCUGAUAGAAGUGGGAGAAAGGGGACAAAUGGUUGCUGAGUUGGUAACCAACAGCAUUUUCUACAGUAGCAAUGAGAAACUGUUGUAGACAAUUGAGCAGGAGCUGGCAUAAUUGGGUUUUUCAUUCUCCCCAAAGCCAGAGCACAUAGAUGUAUAUCCUAGUAGUAAGUCAUUCUAGUUCUUCUAUCUGGGAUGCUGCCACAGCAUGGCUUGAUGAGUGGUGUAUAGGUCCAUGCCCAGGAUCUGAACCUGCGAACCUCGGCCACAGAAGCAGGGCAUGUGAACUCAACAACUACACCACUGGGUCAGCCCCUAAUGAGCUUUACAUCUCAAAAAAAAUCACCCUGUCAUUAGUGUAGAGUUUAAUUUUGUAGAUAGAAAAACUGCAAACAAAUGGAAUAAUUUUAUCAGAAGUCAAGGAACGGCUCAACAUCUCUUUGGAACUGGAGGUAAAGUUUUCCUUGAGCCAUGCCCUCUACCUUAAGGAUGGGAGGGGUGCAGGGUGGGAUGUGAUUAGUGCAGAGGAGAGGCUUUCCAUCCUGGACUUGCCAAGGAAUUCUUUAUGGUACUGUGGCGAGUGUGCAACCUCUUUGCAGUCCAGAUGACAAUGCCAUCCACUCAGAAGGGCAGCUGUAAUCCUAGGAUCCCAGCAAGCUGGAGCUGGAGGCAAUCUUAAAGUCCUUUAGUUCAAGACCUUUAUUUUACAAAUGAGGAAACUGGUACCCAGACAAGCGGAGUGACUUGUUGAGUUCCUAUGUCUGGUACGUGGCUGAGCUGGAACCACACCCACAGAUUCUCCUCACUCCCAGCCCUGUGCUCUUUGUCCUGGGUUCUCAGGGCCAUUUUGAUGGAGGCUUAUGAGUGCAUUCAGGAGUUCUGAAAAGGCUCUGAAGACUCUCUUCCUAUGUUUCUAUUAUCCUUGACAGCAAUCCUAUUGUUGGAAUUAAAAAAAAAAUAAUGUUUUGGUUUCUAUAAAAAUGCAAACAAUACUGGUAGGUACAAUGUUUAAGCUCUCUUAUUAUUCAUUUAUAAUAUGAUCUUAGCAUGAAUGUGUUCCUCUGGUUCUUUCUUUGAAGCUGUUUUAAUGGGGAAUGAGGAUGUAGCCUUUGGGGCCCUGGGAACCCGAGAGAGGAAAGGAGGCCCUAAGAAGAAGCCCUAAGAGGUGGGGUGGGAGACUUGAGGGCUCAUUACUUUGAUGAGGGCGUUCCCAGUGACAAAAAGCCAAAGAAGACACUAAAUAAGAAGCUUGGUGGCUGAGACAUUCAUGAGUGGUAAUCAGUGUGCUGGUGUGCGGUGGAACCUCUGGGACAUUUUUCUUGGUGACUCAAGCAUCUAUUUGCAGUGACCCAUCACACUCUGUCUCUACUCUCUCCUUCGGCCUUCAGCGUCUGCGUGCCUUUACUCCCCAGAGCACCCUCAGUCCUGGCCAGAACUUUUGCCUGGAAUCCUCUGAAAACUCACCCUUGUGGACAGGCACAAAGAAGAAAAAAAAAGCUGAGUAAAAACUAGAGAUGCUUUCAACAGCAAGAUUUUACUGACCAAGUGCUAUGUGCAAAUCACUAAGCUGAAUGAAAGACGUGUAAAAUCCACUUAUUUUGACUUUGCUCUUGAAAAUAUUUCUAAAGUGAUUUGGUUUACUUUUCUGGUAGUAUGCCAAACAUUGUAAAACUGUUAGUUUUAGAUGUGGAUGGUGAAUAAAGAUUGGGCUGAAUCUGUAUAGACCUGGGCAUCCUUGGAUAUGGUGUAAAAGAUGAUCCUGUUUCUGUAAAACAAAUAAUGAAAAGAGAAAAAAGCCCUGUAUAUCUAUGUGUGUCUGUAUAGGACUGUUUAAGCCUAGAGAAACAUGUAAAAGGAUGUCUGUGAAGUUGCUCACAUGGGUGACUCGGCUGGGCAGUGCUGAGGUGCCAGAAGAGGAGGGCUGGGCCAGGCCAGACAAAAUGUAGGAGAAAAGGGGAACUGAAAAGCCGUGUACAAAAUGCUAUUUAUGUAAAUAUAUGUGUGGAAAUAUGCUCAAAAAAUUGAAUAAAAUACUUUUAAAAAGUGAUCUGAGGAAUGAGAACACAGAAGCGACUCUAACUCUCACAUGUAUCUACAAUUAUAACAUGCUUCAGAUGUUUGGCUGGAUUGCGUGAUCGUUAAUGGGCCUUCAGACUUGAAAUUUCAUAGUUCUCUAAAUUAAAGGUGCUGAAAUGUGGCUAGGAAUGCUGUUCUACCUCAAUUUAUAUUUUGUUCUACUUUCAUCUAUUUGUUAUGUAGUUUUUCAUCUCAUUGUCUCCAUCUUUGUAUCAGUAAAGGCUGACAUAAUUAAAAAGUAUGUAUUAUAUAUAUAUGUAACAAGUAUAUCUAAGUUUAUUUCAAAAUUGUAUACAGUUUGUUCCACAGUGUGAAUUUGGUCUAUCUUUAAAAAAUCCUCUAGUAUUUCUAUGAUGUCUGAUUUAAAGGAACCCCUCAGACAAGCUGGUGUCACCUGACGUUUUUAAUGGAGAUCUUGUAAUCCCCUUUCAAAAAGUGUGCCUAAUUGACCAUGCCUGCUUUUGGGGUCCCCCAGUAUGCUCAUUUGGCACUCUACUGGUGGAGAGGCUAGAGGCAUUCAUCUCUCCCUCCCCCACCCUCUACCUCCCAGCGCACACAGGAAGGCCAACAGCAUUUAUUAAGCACUUAUCAUUGGGUCAGAUAUUUCCUCACAGUAAACCAGCAAGGGUAAAUAUUUUAUGCCGAUUUAAUAGAGCAGGAACCUGAGGCCCAGAGGGGUUAAGUAAUUUAUUCAGGGGUGAAUGAAUUGAACCAGUUUUAAAAUCCCGGGCUCCUUGAUUCCAUAGAACAGUUUUUUUGUUUUGUUUUGUUUUGUUUCUCUUUCUCUUCCACUACAUAAACUCAGACACAUCAGAAGGAAAACUGGAAGGGUUUUCUUAGUCUGAAGACUUUCCCUUCCUCUGAUUCUUUCAUCAGCUGCUUCUUUUGAGCUGUGGAAGAGGAGAUGGAAGAGCGAGAACGGGAGGGGAAAGACAGGGACAGUCUCUAUCCAUUGGAGAGCCAGAGUUUCCCAGGAGAAGUGACUGUUCUGGGAUAGCUCAGACUUGGGGUAACCUCCCUCUAAGAACCUCAUUGGUUCAUUCCUGAAACCGAUGCCUUACAUCCUCACCUGGCUUCCAGAGUAUUCUGAUCUUCCUAAGCCCAUUUCAUUCUUCCCAUAUUUGGGCAAUGAGGAGCAGAGCUUGGAAGUGUACAAAGAUGCAAAAAUGAGAAUAAAAUAGGGAGGGGGAGGUUGAUGCAAGCA
Molecule: long non-coding RNA, 10484 nt
Organism: Equus caballus (horse)
Lineage: Eukaryota; Metazoa; Chordata; Mammalia; Perissodactyla; Equidae
Source: Ensembl